UACGUAGGUGGCAAGCGUUGUUCGGAUUUACUGGGCGUAAAGCGCACGUAGGCGGAUCGUUAAGUCGGGGGUGAAAUCCUGGAGCUCAACUCCAGAACUGCCUUCGAUACUGGCGAUCUUGAGUCCGGAAGAGGUGAGUGGAACUCCUAGUGUAGAGGUGGAAUUCGUAGAUAUUAGGAAGAACACCAGUGGCGAAGGCGGCUCACUGGUCCGGUACUGACGCUGAGGUGCGAAAGCGUGGGGAGCAAACAGG
RNAcentral lists this ribosomal RNA (253 nucleotides) under uncultured bacterium. RNAcentral describes it as "partial 16S ribosomal RNA". It matches the Rfam family "Bacterial small subunit ribosomal RNA", at positions 524 to 776 of the family's 1533-position model. The record is from RNAcentral.